RNAcentral lists this unclassified non-coding RNA (1389 nucleotides) under uncultured fungus. RNAcentral describes it as "sequence contains 18S rRNA gene, ITS1, 5.8S rRNA gene, ITS2, 28S rRNA gene". The stretch from base 462 to 1389 matches the Rfam family "Eukaryotic large subunit ribosomal RNA", at positions 1 to 961 of the family's 3401-position model. Lineage: Eukaryota; Fungi. The record is from RNAcentral.
GGAAGGAUCAUUAACACUAAUCCAAACCAACUCAAACAUGCCUUGAUGUUGCAAGCGAAAGCUCUGCAGCUACAACAAAUCUAACCAAAAGAAACAUAACUAAGUCAAACAAAAACCAAAUCCUCAACGAUGGAUAUCUAGGUUCCUACAACGAUGAAGAACGCAGCGAAGUGCGAAAAGCAAUGCGAAUUGCAGAUCCGUGAGUCAUCAGAUUUUUGAACGCAACUGGCUCCGCAUGGUAUUCCGUGCGGAAUGCUUCUUUCAGUGUGUGUUUUUUUCCUGCCCCAAAGCAUAGUGCGGUAGAUGCCCUUCUACUGCUAAACGCGAAAGCACUCUGCGCUCUGCCGUGACUCCCUCGGGAUGUCACACUCAAUGCAGCAGUCACAUUCUCCAAUGUGAACUCAUUGAGAGUAGAGCCAGCGCAGCCUGUCUGCCAGUGCUUAGACACUCAAAUUUUCACAGCAUCUGAAAUGAAGUAGGACCACCCGCUGAACUGAAGCAUCUCAUUAAGCGGAGGAAAAGAAACUAACAAGGAUUCCCUCAGUACGGGCGACGGAAGCGGGAAAAGCCCAAAUUGGUAAUCUCCGCGCGCAAGUGCGGCGAAUUGUAAUCUGAAGGUCACUGGCCUAAUUAGGAGGGACGCAGAAGUGUCCACGAGCGGACCGCCAAAGAGGGUGAAAGCCCCGUCUGUGGUGUCACUCCUUACCGGGCCGGAGCCAAAGAGUCGUGUACUUUGAUACUAGUGCACAAAGUGGGAGAUAAACUUCUUCUAAGGCUAAAUAUAUGUAGGAAACCGAUAGCGAACAAGUACUGUGAAGGAAAGAUGAAAAGCACUUUGAAAAGAGAGUUAAAAGACUUGAAAUCGUUGAGGCGGAAGCGGUAGAAAAAAAUUCUUCAAAAUUUCUCGGUGAAUACUGCCUAAGGGGUUCCGGAAGCGGUAGAAUUGAGAAAUUAGAGAGACAAGAUGGGGUCGAGAAAUGCCAAAAGCAGGAGGAAGUACGAGGCUUGCCUCUACUUCAGCCAUGACUGGUAUUUAACGGCUCGAGGGGCUUUGUGCGAUCUUGUCAAAAUGGUUUUUACCGACUCGUCUUGAAACACGAACCAAGGAGUCUAAGACUAACGCGAGUAUGGUGGUGGAAAAACCAACAUGCGAAAUGAAAGUGAAUGAUGCCAAGGAAACAGCAGCAUCGACCGACCAUGACCCACUGGGGAAAGGUUUGAGUAAGAGCGUUAUUCUUAGGACCCGAAAGAUGGUGAACUAUGCCUGUUUAGGGUGAAGUCAGGGGAAACUCUGAUGGAAGCUCGUAGCGAUACUGACGUGCAAAUCGUUCGUCGAAAAUGGGUAUAGGGGCGAAAGACUAAUCGAACCAUCUAGUAGCUGGUUCCCUC